RNAcentral lists this ribosomal RNA (473 nucleotides) under uncultured bacterium. Its description in RNAcentral is "partial 16S ribosomal RNA". It matches the Rfam family "Bacterial small subunit ribosomal RNA", at positions 28 to 507 of the family's 1533-position model. The record is from RNAcentral.
GAUAAACGCUGGCGGCGCACAUAAGACAUGCAAGUUGAACGGACUUAAUCGAAAUAUUUAUAUUUUGAAGCGGUUAGUGGCGGACUGGUGAGUAACGCGUAAGGAACCUGCCUAUUAGAGGGGAAUAACAGUGAGAAAUCAUUGCUAAUACCGCAUAUGCCAUAGAUAUCACAUGAUAACAGUGGGAAAGGAGCAAUCCGCUAAUAGAUGGCCUUGCGUCUGAUUAGAUAGUUGGUGGGGUAACGGCCUACCAAGUCGACGAUCAGUAGCCGGACUGAGAGGUUGAACGGCCACAUUGGGACUGAGAUACAGCCCAGACUCCUACGGGAGGCAGCAGUCGGGAAUAUUGCGCAAUGGAGGAAACUCUGACGCAGUGACGCCGCGUAUAGGAAGAAGGUUUUCGGAUUGUAAACUAUUGUCGUUAGGGAAGAGAAAGGACAGUACCUAAGGAGGAAGCUCCGGCUAACUACGUG